This 2731-nucleotide long non-coding RNA is filed under the name Sus scrofa (pig). RNAcentral's name for it is "lncRNA (ENSSSCG00000051378.2, ENSSSCG00110013544.1)". The record is from RNAcentral. Lineage: Eukaryota; Metazoa; Chordata; Mammalia; Artiodactyla; Suidae.
GGGACGGCAGCUGUGGCAUAUGGAGGUUCCCAGGCUAGGGAAAAAGACAAAAAAAGGAAGUAAAGAGGACAUGACUAUAAUCCAGAAUAUUCUACAGGGUGGGUCUUAAUACUCUUAGGUCCUCUGGCUAAAGAUAAUGGGAAACUAUGGAAACACAAUACAGACAAGACUGCUAAUGACAGAGUUCCUUCAAGAGGAUUGGAGUAUCCCCACUAGACAAAGAACCACAACCAACUGGACCACUUACUGAAGACAAAGAGACUUGAGGAAAUUUUAGUGGAAUAAGAAAAAUAUAAAUACCAAUCAUGGCCAAAUCAUCACUUGUAGAAAAACAGUAUCUGUAGUGAUUAUACUCAUUUUCCUUACUGCUUUGAUUGGUUUAUAUUUACAUAUACGAAUGAGUUAUUCUUUUCUCCUCUUUGUUGAAUUAUCUAACAUUAGAUAUUUUAACAAUGAUUACCUGUCUACUUCAGCAUUUACACUACAGGAUUUGAAAGGGGCGAGUGUAACUUAGUUACAAAUUUUGUAGUACCUUCAAAAUCCCCUUUUGUGCCUGGAAAGUGUGCUUCCUAAAAUUCCUUUCCCUACAUGGUUCUGGAUUAGAGUUUUCCAACGAGAACAACUUCCUUGAGAGUUGGAAGGUAAAGUGCAGCAAAUGAAUUUUUGGAAAGUCAUUAUAAUUCCUUGUGGUAGAUUUCCAGACUUUUUACAAGCUCUCACCUAUCAGUCACAGCGGUUUGAAAAUAACCCCCAAAAAUGGUAUGCUCCUUUCAUUAUUCCUUUUCGGUCUGAAAUUGUGAAUGUUUCUUGAUUCUCUAGCUUCAGCCAUCCAGAUUGAUACUCCUAUAUCUCUUACCAUUUUUGUGAAAGGCUUUUUCUCAUUAUUAAAGAUCGAUUAUACUAUCCACACUUGCAAGGUCUCAAUUCUCUUGAACAAACUCAGACAGGAUACAAUGAGGAAUCCUCCAUUCCUGUUUUACAUUGGUACUCCUGGCCUCUGUGGCAGUACGUCCAGUGAAGUAAGAUUGCUUGUUGAAGAUGGAUACCAGAGAGACUGCUUGGCAAAACCAGAAAUGGUGCCAGAGCACCCGAUUAGCAGGUCCUGUGAAGAAGCAUGGAGGAGAACUAAGGGGAGAUCAGGAAUGUGGAUGGGAAUUAACUGGUGGCAGGCACUCAGGCAUCCAGAACUCACCCUCAGCACCCUGGCACCACGCUGCAAACACAAAUGAUUCUAGACUUCACCUUGCUGGGAGGAAUAAAUGCAAUUACUAACAUUCUUUCCAGCUUUGGUCAGAGGAUAUUCCUAAGAGGUACAGUUGAAGCUACUGAUAGAAUGUAUCAACAAUGCUGCUUCAAAGGGACGGGAAAAGGCAUGGUCUGAAAAUGGGAACGCAAAUAAACCCAGGGUUUUUAGGGAUCAGAGCUAGAGCUAGGGCAAAGUUUACCACCCAUGAUAUUAACACACCAAAUUAUAACCCCCUAAUUCCGUAUUGAAAUUAACAACCAGUGUAUUACUUUGGAUCACAAAGCAAAUAUGCUUCUCAUCUCAAAUCCAAAUUAGGAGUGUAAAGUUUCUCACUUCAUAGAAUUUAUAUUCCUAUCACUAUUUACCAAGCAACCCUGAAACUGAAAUGAUUUAGUCAGCAAGAACAUUCUCUUAUUCUAUUUUAUGGGUGUAAUAAUUUGGCUUAAUUGUCAAUUGUAUAAGUGAUAAGACUUAGAGAACUUACAGUAAUUUGUCCUUUUUAUGGUAGAAACAUUUCACCGUGGCCUAUUUCCAAUGAAGUGACUAAAUGAAGAAACAAUAAUUUUCUUAAAGAGACAUUAAAGAGCAGUUGAAGUAAGCAUCUCUUUUGCGUGUGUAAAUCCUAAAUCAUGUCCUAAUUUUAAAGCCUUCCACAAAAAACAUUGACUGACUAACAUUCUACUUUGGGCACACAGUGAUCGACUUAAAUUAGCAGCCCUCAAAGUUUUGUUCAUACUGCUUGAUGCUGUACUGGUGGCAGAUUCUGCAAUGAGCUGAACUGGAUCCUGCUCUUCUUGUGUACAAAUCAUCACGAUACCCACAAGAAGCAAUCGGAGACCCGACAAUUGUUACUGAACUUUGCGCUCUGUGAAAACACUGCCCAGUUUCAAUUGAUAAACACACUUAUAUAUGUUCACGCCCAUGUACAAAGCCCAUACACCACAUACAGAUACAGGCACAUCACAAAACAGAGAGUAAGUCAGAGGCAUGUGAUUUACUUCCAGCAGGAAAAUCAAAGCAGUUUUCAAUUGACGUGACAGUCCAGACUGUAGCUGAAGCUCCCAAGUCUCCCUCCACUUCUGACAGCCCCAGCAAUGCUCCCCUUGAAGGGAAUCUGUUGACAAGGCAUCUUCUGGACACUUGCUGACAGGGACAAGAAGCUUAUGGGUUUUGAAUGGAAAGGAUUUGCUAAAUAAAGCUUCAAUCCAAGCCUUCACCCCUUUUUCCCCAGAGGUCAGGCCACUAAAGUCCUUGGUAGCUUUGAAAAUCACUAGGGGAACCAAUGAAUUACUUACAUUUUAGAGCUUGCUCCGUGACACUGAUCCCUAGGUAAACCCAGUUAGGAAACUAAGCUCACAUGAUUAUAUUUUUGAAAUGAAAAAGCUUGUUUUUUUGCACCCACCUUAUUAGUGGUGGAUAUUCCUCUCUGAUCCAUUGUCAAUGACUGAUUCUUACCUAAUCUAAACCUCAACACAUCAUCCUGGU